UACGAAGGACCCGAGCGUUAUCCGGAUUUAUUGGGUUUAAAGGGUGCGUAGGCGGAUUAGUAAGUCAGUGGUGAAAGCCCAUCGCUUAACGGUGGAAUUGCCAUUGAUACUGCUAGUCUUGAGUAUGGUUGAGGUGGGCGGAAUGUGUCAUGUAGCGGUGAAAUGCUUAGAUAUGACCCAGAACACCAAUUGCGAAGGCAGCUCGCUAAACCAUAACUGACGCUGAUGCACGAAAGCGUGGGGAGCAAACAGGAUUAGAUACCCUGGUAGUCCACGCCCUAAACUAUGAUCACUCGUUGUUGGCGAUACACAGUCAGCGACUAAGGGAAACCAUUAAGUGAUCCACCUGGGAAGUACGACCGCAAGGUUGAA
Molecule: ribosomal RNA, 372 nt
Filed under: uncultured bacterium
Lineage: Bacteria
Description: bacterial SSU rRNA
Rfam family: Bacterial small subunit ribosomal RNA
Source: RNAcentral